UACGGAGGGUGCAAGCAUUAAUCGGAUUUACUGGGCGUAAAGGGCGCGUAGGCGGAAAGGAAAGUUAGUUGUGAAAGCUCGGGGCUCAACCUCGAAAACGCAUCUAAAACUCCCUUUCUAGAGGAUGGGCGGAGAAAAUGGAAUUCCACAUGUAGCGAUGAAAUGCGUAGAUAUGUGGAGGAACACCGGUGGCGAAGGCGAUUUUCUAGCUUAGACCUGACGCUGAGGCGCGAAAGCAAGGGGAGCAAACAGG
Molecule: ribosomal RNA, 253 nt
Filed under: uncultured bacterium
Lineage: Bacteria
Description: partial 16S ribosomal RNA
Rfam family: Bacterial small subunit ribosomal RNA
Source: RNAcentral